GACGAACGCUGGCGGCGUGCUUAACACAUGCAAGUCGAACGCUGAAGCUCAGCUUUUGUUGGGUGGAUGAGUGGCGAACGGGUGAGUAACACGUGAGUAACCUGCCUCCUUCUUUGGGAUAACGCCCGGAAACGGGUGCUAAUACUGGAUAUUCACUGGUCUUCGCAUGGGGGUUGGUGGAAAGGGUUUUUCUGGUGGGGGAUGGGCUCGCGGCCUAUCAGCUUGUUGGUGGGGUGAUGGCCUACCAAGGCUUUGACGGGUAGCCGGCCUGAGAGGGUGACCGGUCACAUUGGGACUGAGAUACGGCCCAGACUCCUACGGGAGGCAGCAGUGGGGAAUAUUGCGCAAUGGGCGCAAGCCUGAUGCGGCGACGCCGCGUGAGGGAUGGCGGCCUUCGGGUUGUGAACCUCUUUCGCUCAUGGUCAAGCCGCAACAAUGGUUGUGGUGAGGGUAGUGGGUAAAGAAGCGCCGGCUAACUACGUG
RNAcentral lists this ribosomal RNA (483 nucleotides) under uncultured bacterium. RNAcentral's name for it is "partial 16S ribosomal RNA". It matches the Rfam family "Bacterial small subunit ribosomal RNA", at positions 28 to 507 of the family's 1533-position model. The record is from RNAcentral.